CGGCGUGUGUGACUGUGCAGUUGCAUGAUUGCAGUUUGCAUCGUACGAUGCCGCAGACAUUCAUAAAGAAAUGAAAUAUUGUGCAGUUGAUUUAUGCAGCUGAUAUAUAUAUAUAUAUAAUAUAUAUUAUAUAUGUGUGUGUGUGUGUGUGUGUGUUACAGAGAGAUAUAUAUGUAUACAUAUAUAGCUGCUAUAUAGCUUAUACACUGUGUGAUACGUGUACGGCUCAAACGACUGUACGUGCUGAGUGCAAAAUAAAAUUCUACUGAAAUUUGCUGCGCCGUCGCGCUUCAUCCUUCACUGGUUUGCUGUUUUUGCAAACUACAGUCCCAACAUUCGUAACUGUCGUAAGCACCUUUGAAACAGAGUAGCCUCUCGUAUAAGGGAGACUCGAUCAGUUUUAACUGUAGUAUGUGUAGAAAGCUUAGUCUCUCUGAAUUUAUGAUCAAUAAAUAAAUACCUUUCAUUUUCAUGUGUUGAGUGGCAAUCUGUAGUCUGUAGACAUUAAACCUGGCGUCUUACAAGUGUUGGUACUAUUAGUAACGGAUGAAAAGCCGAUGAAGACGCACCAUGUCUGAAAGUAAUAAUGCCAUAAAUUGAGUGAACAAGAAAGAAAGAGAGCAAGUCAUAUAGAUUGUUGCCCGACGUAGACGGACGACACAUAGCAAUCAAUUGCAGUUUACACAUAAGUUCGUAGUCGACUCUCUGCGUUUGGCAGAUAAUGCGGCCGCUGAUCGAAUUUUUUGGAAAACGACAACAAGCUGCCUCAACUGUCGACUUAAACGACGACCCAGCAUCUGCCUUUUAUUAUGCAUUUCGAAGAUUCAAUGCAAGAACGAUCGAUUUCAAGCAUGAAUAAGUCUGUUGAAAAUCUACUUCUUUCCAGUCAUGAAGUUAUUACUAGUAUUAAUUCUUCGUCGCUUUCCGGUUAUAGUUCAACUGCAAACUUGACAAAUGGGGCUUACAAUGAAUCUGCACAGGAUGUUUCUUCAGGAGGAGAAAAUGAGCGGACAAGCCCAAUUUCAAGUCCAAAUUUGUCCCCAAAACCAAGUCCUAGAUUUGGUAAAAGAAAAGAUAAAGAUAAAUCACAUAAGGACCAUAAAGAUCACAAAGACCACAAGGAUCACAUUGAUCAUAAAGAUCAUUCUAUGAAGAGUAAAGAAUCUGAUUGUACUCCAUAUUCACAAAAAGAUAUAAGCUUAACCAAGCUAAAUGAUCAACAAAUGCCGGAAAUUACAAAUCUGUCUUCUAAGUCGGAUGGAAAAUUUGAAGGAAGAAAAGACAGAGGAAGUGAUCGUAGUAGUAAGAAAAAGUCAUGGUACUCUAAUAUUCUUUAUCCUACAUACAAAUCUCGCUCUGAUGAUUUCAAAAGAAUAUUUAAAGAUGUACCAGAUGAAGAAAGACUUGUUGUUGAUUACUCUUGCGCGUUGCAACGAGAAAUAUUAGUUCAUGGGAGACUGUAUGUUUCACAAAAUUAUGUAUGUUUUUAUGCUAACAUUUUUAUGUGGGAAACACUUGUCUCUUUGCGUUGGAAAGAUGUUACUUCAAUGACUAAAGAAAAAACAGCUCUUGUAAUUCCAAAUGCUAUAUUAAUUUCUACUGCCAAUGAUAAAUUCUUUCUAACAUCUUUUGGGUCACGCGAUAAAACAUUUAUGAUGUUAUUCAAAGUUUGGCAAAAUGCUCUCAUGGGACAGAUUGGAAAAAGCGAAUGGAAGCCUAAGUGCAAGAGUAAAAAGUGUAAUUUAGAGUCAAUGAGUAUGACUGAAAUGUGGCAGCUCGUUCAUGAUUGUUAUGGAGAAGAACUGGGGCUAACAUCUGAUGACGAGGAUUUUGCAUCACGUCAAUUAGCAGUUGCAAGUACAGAAAAACUCUCAACGCAACUUUCUUUAGAAUCGUUUUCAGAAGCUGAUGUGAAAAUUGGAAAUCCUGUAUCAUCUGAUGCUCUAGCAGAAUCACCACUUACUCCUUCAUCACCAAUACACUCAACUACUGGUACAAGACCUGAUGGAUCAGUCGACCCUACAGAUCUUAGUGAUACUAGUGAAAGUGAAGAAGAAAAAAAUUCAUGUGGUAGGAUAAGUUUAGUCAGUACAGCGGUCUGUACAGCUUCACAUGAGGGUAGACCUCUCAUAAAAGCAACUUUACCAAUCCAUAUAGAUCAGUUAUUCACUCUUCUCUUCACAAAUUCGAAAUUUUUUCUGGACUUUCAUACAGCUAGAAAAACUACAGACUUGAUUCAACCUGCUUGGACUCAAGAUGAUGCUACGGGUCAAAAACUAAGAACAGUUUCUUUAACUGUUUCACUCACUCAAGCUGUAGGCCCAAGAUCUUCCCAAGUGACAGAAACUCAAGUGAUGCUCCCAUGCAGUACCCCAGGUCAUUUAUAUUGCAUCGAUGUUGAAACUACAAAUGCAGGGAUACCGUAUGCUGAUUCAUUUAGUGUUUUGUCGCAUUAUUGUUUAACUAGUAUUUCAGAAACUGAAACAACCUUUGAAGUGUUCGCCGAAAUCAAGUAUAAAAAGAAUGUUUGGGGUAUAGUUAAAAGCUUCAUUGAAAAAAAUUGUUGGGCUGGUAUGCAAGAAUAUUUGAAUAGUUUAAUAAAAGCUUUAGCGGUAGAAUGCGAAGAAAUUGGUGCAGGAGCUGUGGGUAUCAAACGGAAAACGAGACGGCGACGACGUGUUGCAGCCACUGGUGUUACCAUAAAAACGCAUGCUCCUGAUCAUACAGCCUUUAACCACCAAUCGCCUGUUGUAGAGCUGCCUUUAUCACGCAAUAUUACUGCUUCUGUAGAUUUACGACCUGAAAGCAGUCCUGUCGUUAGUUAUAUUCUCUUGAUUGCUGUACUGUGUUUAAUGGCUAUAAAUGGUUUACUAUACUAUAAAUUGUGGAAUAUAGACCAAGCUGCCACAUACACAGUCAUGGAUCUGCAUGUUUUAAACAAUUAGAAGAACCGAAACACAGCAAAAGAAAGUUUUUUCAUAAAGUCAGUCAUUUCUUCAAUUUUUUUUAUUUUUUGGGACUGGUUCAAGAUUUCAGUAAAUAUCAUACAAAUAUGAAACAAUUUUCGCCGCCUGAUUUGAGACAAUUUUACGAAGGUUUAGCUUGUCACCCAGGGCGUUCAGUUUUUUAAACGCAACCCUGUUCGAACGCUAUUAAAUUAUUAAUGAAGGUGUAUUUUGUUUUGACAAAAAUUACUUGUAGUAAAAAAAUACACCAAAAACUGAAGAAGAUUGGAUAAGUUUACUACAACAACAAGAAAGUUUGCAUAACAUAGAAGUCAAAAAAUGGCAGAGAGUGUU
Molecule: unclassified non-coding RNA, 3299 nt
Filed under: Trichogramma pretiosum
Lineage: Eukaryota; Metazoa; Arthropoda; Insecta; Hymenoptera; Trichogrammatidae
Description: gRAM domain-containing protein 1B-like, transcript variant X9
Source: RNAcentral